GACGAACGCUGGCGGCGUGCUUAACACAUGCAAGUCGAACGAUGAUGCCAGCUUGCUGGUGGAUUAGUGGCGAACGGGUGAGUAACACGUGGGUGAUCUGCCCCGAACUUUGGGAUAAGCCUGGGAAACUGGGUCUAAUACCGGAUAGUACCUUCCCUUGCAUGGGGGUUGGUGGAAAGCUCCGGCGGUUUGGGAUGGGCCCGCGGCCUAUCAGCUUGUUGGUGGGGUAAUGGCCUACCAAGGCGACGACGGGUAGCCGGCCUGAGAGGGCGACCGGCCACACUGGGAUUGAGACACGGCCCAGACUCCUACGGGAGGCAGCAGUGGGGAAUAUUGCACAAUGGGCGCAAGCCUGAUGCAGCGACGCCGCGUGAGGGAUGACGGCCUUCGGGUUGUAAACCUCUUUCACCAGGGACGAAGCGUGAGUGACGGUACCUGGAGAAGAAGCACCGGCCAACUACGUG
RNAcentral lists this ribosomal RNA (464 nucleotides) under uncultured bacterium. RNAcentral describes it as "bacterial SSU rRNA". It matches the Rfam family "Bacterial small subunit ribosomal RNA", at positions 28 to 507 of the family's 1533-position model. The record is from RNAcentral.